GAUGAACGCUAGCGGCAGGCCUAACACAUGCAAGUCGAGGGAGGAGCUUUCGGGCUUCGACCGGCGUACGGGUGCGUAACGCGUAUACAAUCUGCCUUUCACAUAGGGAUAGCCCGAAGAAAUUUGGAUUAAUACCUAAUGGUAUAUAGGAGUGGCAUCACCUUUAUAUUAAAGCUGAGGCGGUGAAAGAUGAGUAUGCGUUCUAUUAGCUAGUUGGAGAGGUAACGGCUCCCCAAGGCGACGAUAGAUAGGGGUUCUGAGAGGGAUAUCCCCCACACUGGUACUGAGAUACGGACCAGACUCCUACGGGAGGCAGCAGUGAGGAAUAUUGGACAAUGGUCGGAAGACUGAUCCAGCCAUGCCGCGUGCAGGAAGACGGCCUUAGGGGUUGUAAACUGCUUUUGCAGGGGAAGAAUAAGGAGUACGUGUACUUUGAUGACGGUACUCUGCGAAUAAGCAUCGGCUAACUCCGUG
Molecule: ribosomal RNA, 474 nt
Filed under: uncultured bacterium
Lineage: Bacteria
Description: partial 16S ribosomal RNA
Rfam family: Bacterial small subunit ribosomal RNA
Source: RNAcentral